GCAAUCAAUAGUGUUUUGGGUGAUAAAAGCAUGAAAUUUACUGUUCAUAAGGCUUUGGUGAAUAUCAGCCAUCGGUUUGAGUCUUUCAUCUCAGCCGCACAAUCGCUUCUUUCUCUCCCCUCUCUCUUUCUCCCUCUUCCUCUGUCUCUAUCUUCUCUCAUCUUUUUCUCUGUCUUCUUCGUCUCUCUCUAACAAGAGGAAGUGAAGAACCUUGAAAAAUCAGCAAUCAUCUGAUCUCUCCUCAAAAAAAUAAGCAAUCAUCUGAUCUUGUUGGUAAUUUUUUUUUUUCUCUAAUCGAUUUACAAGGUUUGAUUUCACCAAUUUCCUUUGUAUUUGUUUGUUUAAGGGCUAAAAGAAAGGAACUCUUUACGCCAUGUGUGGGAUUCGAAUUCGAAAAGUAUGUCCUUAACUCCACUUAUUCUUAUCGAUAUGGCAGAUUUGUUGAGGAAGACGUGAAAGAAAGAGGGAUCGUUUUCUUUGAGCCCAAACCCUAAUCCUCACUCCAGUUCCACUUUAAAAUUGCUGAUAGAUGGCUUGUUCAUCUUCAACAGCAUGGAGCAUGGCAACUCUAAAAGCUGCAUUGCCUUCUAUUCCUUCUUCUCCUGUGUUUAACAAGUUGCCGAUUUCAGCUGUCUGUAAUACUUCAUCCUCAAAGCCGCCAAGAGUGGGGCUAUCGCUACGGAGUUCUAAGCCUCUUUUACCACAGUUCAGUGGCCUUACUGCUCUCUGCCCCCUUCUCCCCUCUGGAUUAGGUUGGACAAACAGGAAAAAUUGUUGCACCAGAGCUAUACAUGGAUUUUGGGGUCUCAGGCGCCAUUCAACAAUUGGCAGGCAUGAGAGACUCAAAAGUCAUUGUAGCUGUAAAUAAGGACGCAGAUGCCCCCAUAUUCCAGGUUUAAGAGAGAGCUUGUUGCUGCGGAAGCCCUGUGGAGGCAUGGAAAUGACACUCAUCUCCCCAUUAAUCUCACUUCAUCAGGGGAGCAUCUCAUGAUGUUAUACAACGAGCUAAGACAACAAAAGAAGAUUGUAAUGAGCUUGCAGAAGAAAUCUCUUUGGUCUUGAAAGUUCGAGGAGGUAUACAAGUUGCUACCUUCUUUAGCGAUUUCUUAGAGUGGGAAAUUGAUGCUUUUCUUCUGCAUCCACAUCUUUCUUCCAGAUCCUGGUGAAACAUGCAUGGGUAGUGAAGAUGAUGGAGGACAAAAUCAACGAAGAAAUUGCAGCCUUGGAAAGUUCUCGAACAUUUGCUUUACUGGUUCCAAAGGUGGCAGUUGCGGGAUCUCCUCUAGCGAUAUCGAAGUGCUAGAUAGAAUAAGAUUCAGCAAAUGAAGGGAAUGGCGUAAAGUGUAAACAUUUGAUGUCUCUCGGUCGUGGCAAGUACUCUGAGAUACCCUUGGAAAAGGAGUUCUAACAUGUUUAUGGGAACAUACUAUCUACAUUUCUAUUUUCUUUGUAUUUAACAUUCUCCUUUGGGUUUGAAUAUGAAAUUUGAUCCUUUAGGAUCUAUUAUUUGGGACCA
RNA transcript from Beta vulgaris subsp. vulgaris (sugar beet), 1516 nucleotides. RefSeq lists it as uncharacterized. The record is from RefSeq and is a predicted model, not a curated record. The transcript has 7 exons. NCBI's taxonomy places the organism in Eukaryota, Viridiplantae, Streptophyta, Magnoliopsida, Caryophyllales, Amaranthaceae.